UACGUAGGGUGCAAGCGUUGUCCGGAAUUAUUGGGCGUAAAGAGCUCGUAGGCGGUUUGUUGCGUCGGCUGUGAAAGCCCGAGGCUCAACCUCGGGUCUGCAGUCGAUACGAGCAAACUAGAGUGUUGCAGGGGAGACUGGAAUUCCUGGUGUAGCGGUGAAAUGCGCAGAUAUCAGGAGGAACACCGGUGGCGAAGGCGGGUCUCUGGGCAACAACUGACGCUGAGGAGCGGAAGCGUGGGGAGCGAACAGG
Molecule: ribosomal RNA, 253 nt
Filed under: uncultured bacterium
Lineage: Bacteria
Description: partial 16S ribosomal RNA
Rfam family: Bacterial small subunit ribosomal RNA
Source: RNAcentral